AUGGACUUUGUCGAUCCUUCUACUCCUCUAACACCAUGGUUCUCUGAGCAAGAUCUUGCAGUUUAUUCAUCUUUAAUUGUAUGUGAACUCAGAAUUCCGUUUUCCAUUACAAGUACCAUAAAGGCACAUGCAACUAAUGAGAACCCUCCAAACAAGAACCUUUAACCAAAUCACCUCUAGCUUUACCAAUAUCUCCCAACAAAUAUGAAAUUCUUGCAAUUGGUUUACUGUUACUUCUACAUUUGUUUUUAGGAGUAGACUGUGGAGAAACGUCAAGCAUUGACUGCAUCCUAAAGAUGCCUG
This 303-nucleotide unclassified non-coding RNA is filed under the name Hevea brasiliensis (rubber tree). Lineage: Eukaryota; Viridiplantae; Streptophyta; Magnoliopsida; Malpighiales; Euphorbiaceae. The record is from RNAcentral.